GACGAACGCUGGCGGCGUGCUUAACACAUGCAAGUCGAACGGAAAGGCCCUGCUUUGGUGGGGUGCUCGAGUGGCGAACGGGUGAGUAACACGUGAGUAACCUGCCCUCGACGUUGGGAUAACUUCCUGAAAAUGGGGCUAAUACCGGAUAGGAUCUCCGGCUGCAUGGUGGGGGUUGGAAAGGUUCGGCGGUUGGGGAUGGUCUCGCGGCUUAUCAGCUUGUUGGUGGGGUAGUGGCGUACCAAGGCUUCGACGGGUAGCCGGCCUGAGAGGGUGACCGGCCACCUUGGGACUGAGCUACGGCCCAGACUCCUACGGGAGGCAGAAGUGGGGAAUAUUGCCUAAUGGGCGGACGCCUGAUGCAGCAACGCCGCGUGCGGGAUGACGGCCUUCGGGUUGUAGACCGCUUUCGCCUGUGACGAAGCGUGAGUGACGGUAAUGGGUAAAGAAGCACCGGCUAACUACGUG
This 468-nucleotide ribosomal RNA is filed under the name uncultured bacterium. RNAcentral describes it as "partial 16S ribosomal RNA". It matches the Rfam family "Bacterial small subunit ribosomal RNA", at positions 28 to 507 of the family's 1533-position model. The record is from RNAcentral.